Molecule: non-coding RNA, 172 nt
Filed under: Taenia asiatica
Lineage: Eukaryota; Metazoa; Platyhelminthes; Cestoda; Cyclophyllidea; Taeniidae
Description: Archaeal large subunit ribosomal RNA
Rfam family: Archaeal large subunit ribosomal RNA
Source: Rfam by way of RNAcentral
CAGGGUCUUUCCGUCUGUUUAUUAAAAACAUUUCUAGUUUGAAUGUUAACUAGUAGUGCCUGCCCAAUGUUGGUUUAGUAAAUAAAUGGCCGCAGUAUAUUGACUGUGCAAAGGUAGCAUAAUUAAUUGCCUUUUAAUUGAGGGCUUGUCUGAAUGGUUUGACGUGAGAGAU